Passer domesticus (house sparrow) is the source of this 912-nucleotide long non-coding RNA. RefSeq lists it as uncharacterized. The transcript is spliced from 3 exons. The record is from RefSeq and is a predicted model, not a curated record. Lineage: Eukaryota; Metazoa; Chordata; Aves; Passeriformes; Passeridae.
CUUCACAAAAUCGAGACAUAAUGGGGAGAGGGGCAGGGGGAAUAAAUGCUUGUCAAAUGAAUCCCCUCUCCCUGGCAGAAAGAGUCUUUGGUCCAUUUCAACCACCUCCACUAGUCCUGGCAGGGAGGAUUUCCCUUUGCUUCAGCAGCAUCACCACAACAGACCCAGCUCCAGACAACUGACCUCUCUUCAACAGCUCCCAUGUAUUACACAACUGCUUCCCAGGUUUUGUCGUGUAAUCCCAUGAGCUCACAAAGGCUGGUACAGUGUCAACCCAUCAUAACCCAGAAAUUUCUCAAGGAACAAUAGUCAGCAACACCAAAAAAACAAGAACAACAUACCAGACAAGUGUAGCCUUAAGGGCAAGAGUGCAGCACACAAGACUGGUUCCUGUGUCAUCUCAUUUGGUGAAAACACCCAAGCUGAAGUUUUUAGAAAGACUAUGUACAUCUCCCAGGCAUCUCCCAAAAUGCCUGACCCUGCAAUCAGCGUGUGUUGCAGGUUCAGCUGUCAACAGAUGCAGGAAAGCCAGGGCUGGACUUCUCGCAGAGCCUUCAUUGACAGAAAAUCUGGAAGAGAUCUUGUUACAUUCAUCUUCUGCACAAAGCUACUGACCACCAUCAGCUAUUUCAUCAUCAUCAAUGAUUCAUCAUUAAAUCCUUGUAAAUGACUGUGGAACAGGAAAGGCAGAAGAAAUUAAUGCUGACAAAUGCAGGCCAGCACACAUUGGGAAAAUGUGUUCGUCUGCACGUGAACAUGCACUCUGUGAAAGGAACUCAGGAUCUACCUCCAGUGGGGAACAGAACAGUCACUGCAGUGAGGCCUUCGACAAACAUCAGAACUGUGCUCCACAGCUGCCAGAAGAGAGACAGUGUUCAUCAUUAUCAGUAAAACAGAUCUGGGAAACCUCAA